AUUGAACGCUGGCGGCAGGCCUAACACAUGCAAGUCGAGCGGCAGCGGAAAGUAGCUUGCUACUUUGCCGGCGAGCGGCGGACGGGUGAGUAAUGUCUGGGAAACUGCCCGAUGGAGGGGGAUAACUACUGGAAACGGUAGCUAAUACCGCAUAACGUCGCAAGACCAAAGAGGGGGACCUUCGGGCCUCUUGCCAUCGGAUGUGCCCAGAUGGGAUUAGCUAGUAGGUGGGGUAACGGCUCACCUAGGCGACGAUCCCUAGCUGGUCUGAGAGGAUGACCAGCAACACUGGAACUGAGACACGGUCCAGACUCCUACGGGAGGCAGAAGUGGGGAAUAUUGCACAAUGGGCGCAAGCCUGAUGCAGCCAUGCCGCGUGUAUGAAGAAGGCCUUCGGGUUGUAAAGUACUUUCAGCGGGGAGGAAGGUGUUGAGGUUAAUAACCUCAGCAAUUGACGUUACCCGCAGAAGAAGCACCGGCUAACUCCGUGCCAGCAGCCGCCGUAA
This 506-nucleotide ribosomal RNA is filed under the name uncultured bacterium. RNAcentral describes it as "partial 16S ribosomal RNA". It matches the Rfam family "Bacterial small subunit ribosomal RNA", at positions 30 to 523 of the family's 1533-position model. The record is from RNAcentral.